RNAcentral lists this non-coding RNA (31 nucleotides) under Homo sapiens (human). Lineage: Eukaryota; Metazoa; Chordata; Mammalia; Primates; Hominidae. The record is from RNAcentral.
UCCAUUCCAGCUUCUGUGCUUGACCAUCUGU